RNAcentral lists this long non-coding RNA (1350 nucleotides) under Fragaria vesca (wild strawberry). RNAcentral's name for it is "long non-coding RNA (FVES_LNC004965)". Lineage: Eukaryota; Viridiplantae; Streptophyta; Magnoliopsida; Rosales; Rosaceae. The record is from RNAcentral.
AAAAUCUGGUGUGAAUUUUUUUUCUGACCGUUGGACCUCUGCUGGACUAACCGUCCAUUUCAAAUUAUGCUAUCAAUCCUGGCCGUCCAUUUCAUACCCGUUGAAGCGCUCAACGGUCGACUGGGAGACCGUCCCAUGUGCAUGGGUCCCAGCCUCUGCAAACAGCAGCGCGACUGGAGCUGGAGAGCGCGUUACGCGCGUCUUCGUCUCGUGCGGAAGCGGGAGAGCGCGUUUCGUGCCGACCUUGUGCCGAGCGCGUCUCUUCUUCUUCUUCUCUGGCCCAGCCCAAACGCAAGUGGACCCGAGUCUUGGUCCUGGAAUUGUCUCAGAUUUGAGACUGAGAAUAGGACCGGGUCCUAUAUUUCCAAAACCAAACCCUAGGUUUUUGGCCCGUUGGAGAUGAAAUGUAUGGAUAUAGGACUGGAACUGGGUUUUAGAACCCUUGUUGGAGUUGCCCUAAAAACAGUUUUAUCAAUAUUUUGGUUUUCAAAUUUAACUCAUAUCCUUAAAGUCUCAUUUCUCGACACUGUUGUCCAUUUCAUUAGUUGAAUGAGAGAGGAAUAGUUUUCUUUCUUCAAUAUAUUUAUAGUUUAAAGUUUCAACUCAAGAGGGAUAUUGAGUUUAGCUGAUACCAAAUUUCAAGUCAAUCUCAUAUUUAUUUCUCGUUCUUGACUACACAACACUUCAAUGUUCUCUGAUAUGUAAACAUUUUAGCCAAAUUUUUUUUUUUUCUCCCCCGAGUAGACAACAUUUUUGUGUUGUCUGAAUUGCACAACUCGUUUAACUUAGCUAGAGUUAUGGUUAACCAAUUGGGAGGGAAAUGAUGGAGCCAAGACAAAAGUUUGGUCAACUUCGAUCACACAACAGUUAACUGUUGACCAAUUAAAGCUCAGAUUUAGUCUCUAGACUAGAUGAUGCCCGCGCGUUGCCGCGGUUUGCAAUGACGGAUAUUCUCUACCGUAAAUGCUUUUGUUUGGAUCAAUUUUGCUGUUGAAUGUCUACAAUGAUGCUUUUUGCAUGUAAACAUAGGUAUAGUGUUCUUCUAGCAAUACUAUUAAAGUUUCAAUUUAAGAAAAUGGUGAAUGAGUUUAUUUACCACAUGACACCAAUAAUAAUUCAUUUAUUAUGGAAAGAUUAAGCAAAACUGAAAUGCAUGAGAAACUGAACAUAGAUAUAGUAAUGUUACUAAUAUACAUAAUGUAUUAAACAAAAGCAGUAGUACAAUACAUGUCCCUCCAUCAACAACUUUGUAUCCCAUGUAUCAGAAUAAUUGAGGGUAACAAAAAUAGGUUACAUGUAUUAUCAGUUUUCUAAACAAAAUGCUUCCUAUUGCCAGACAAUGCUAUACUG